GUAGGUGGCAAGCGUUGUCCGGAAUUAUUGGGCGUAAAGCGCGCGCAGGCGGUUCUUUAAGUCUGAUGUGAAAGCCCACGGCUCAACCGUGGAGGGUCAUUGGAAACUGGAGAACUUGAGUACAGAAGAGGAAAGCGGAAUUCCACGUGUAGCGGUGAAAUGCGUAGAGAUGUGGAGGAACACCAGUGGCGAAGGCGGCUUUCUGGUCUGUAACUGACGCUGAGGCGCGAAAGCGUGGGGAGCAAACAGGAUUAGAUACCCGUGGUAGUCCACGCCGUAAACGAUGAGUGCUAAGUGUUAGGGGGUUUCCGCCCCCCUUAGUGCUGCAGCUAACGCAUUAAGCACUCCGCCGUGGGAGUACGGCCGCAAGGCUAG
Molecule: ribosomal RNA, 375 nt
Filed under: uncultured organism
Description: partial 16S ribosomal RNA
Rfam family: Bacterial small subunit ribosomal RNA
Source: RNAcentral